UACAGAGGGUGCUAGCGUUGUUCGGAAUCAUUGGGCGUAAAGAGCGUGUAGGCGGCCAAGCAGGUCCGCUGUGAAAACUCGAGGCUCAACCUCGAGACGUCGGUGGAAACCGUUUGGCUAGAGUCCGGAAGAGGAGAGUGGAAUUCCCGGUGUAGCGGUGAAAUGCGCAGAUAUCGGGAAGAACACCCGUGGCGAAGGCGGCUCUCUGGGACGGUACUGACGCUGAGACGCGAAAGCGUGGGGAGCGAACAGG
RNAcentral lists this ribosomal RNA (253 nucleotides) under uncultured bacterium. RNAcentral's name for it is "partial 16S ribosomal RNA". It matches the Rfam family "Bacterial small subunit ribosomal RNA", at positions 524 to 776 of the family's 1533-position model. The record is from RNAcentral.